UGGCGAGUGGCGAACGGGUGAGUAACAUAUCGGAACGUACCGGGUAGCGGGGGAUAACUGAUCGAAAGAUCAGCUAAUACCGCAUACGUCUUGAGAGGGAAAGCAGGGGACCUUCGGGCCUUGCGCUAUCCGAGCGGCCGAUAUCUGAUUAGCUGGUUGGCGGGGUAAAGGCCCACCAAGGCGACGAUCAGUAGCGGGUCUGAGAGGAUGAUCCGCCACACUGGGACUGAGACACGGCCCAGACUCCUACGGGAGGCAGCAGUGGGGAAUUUUGGACAAUGGGCGCAAGCCUGAUCCAGCCAUGCCGCGUGUCUGAAGAAGGCCUUCGGGUUGUAAAGGACUUUUGUCAGGGAAGAAAAGGCCGUUGCCAAUAUCGGCGGCCGAUGACGGUACCUGAAGAAUAAGCACCGGCUAACUACGUGCCAGCAGCCGCGGUAAUACGUAGGGUGCGAGUGUUAAUCGGAAUUACUGGGCGUAAAGCGGGCGCAGACGGUUACUUAAGCAGGAUGUGAAAUCCCCGGGCUCAACCCGGGAACUGCGUUCUGAACUGGGUGACUCGAGUGUGUCAGAGGGAGGUGGAAUUCCACGUGUAGCAGUGAAAUGCGUAGAGAUGUGGAGGAAUACCGAUGGCGAAGGCAGCCUCCUGGGAUAACACUGACGUUCAUGUCCGAAAGCGUGGGUAGCAAACAGGAUUAGAUACCCUGGUAGUCCACGCCCUAAACGAUGUCAAUUAGCUGUUGGGCAACUUGAUUGCUUGGUAGCGUAGCUAACGCGUGAAAUUGACCGCCUGGGGAGUACGGUCGCAAGAUUAAAACUCAAAGGAAUUGACGGGGACCCGCACAAGCGGUGGAUGAUGUGGAUUAAUUCGAUGCAACGCGAAGAACCUUACCUGGUUUUGACAUGUGCGGAAUCCUCCGGAGACGGAGGAGUGCCUUCGGGAGCCGUAACACAGGUGCUGCAUGGCUGUCGUCAGCUCGUGUCGUGAGAUGUUGGGUUAAGUCCCGCAACGAGCGCAACCCUUGUCAUUAGUUGCCAUCAUUCGGUUGGGCACUCUAAUGAGACUGCCGGUGACAAGCCGGAGGAAGGUGGGGAUGACGUCAAGUCCUCAUGGCCCUUAUGACCAGGGCUUCACACGUCAUACAAUGGUCGGUACAGAGGGUAGCCAAGCCGCGAGGCGGAGCCAAUCUCACAAAACCGAUCGUAGUCCGGAUUGCACUCUGCAACUCGAGUGCAUGAAGUCGGAAUCGCUAGUAAUCGCAGGUCAGCAUACUGCGGUGAAUACGUUCCCGGGUCUUGUACACACCGCCCGUCACACCAUGGGAGUGGGGGAUACCAGAAGUAGGUAGGGUAACCGCAAGGAGCCC
Molecule: ribosomal RNA, 1364 nt
Filed under: Neisseria gonorrhoeae
Lineage: Bacteria; Pseudomonadati; Pseudomonadota; Betaproteobacteria; Neisseriales; Neisseriaceae
Description: bacterial SSU rRNA
Rfam family: Bacterial small subunit ribosomal RNA
Source: RNAcentral